AUACUUACCUGGCAGGGGAAGUGCUAGGGCCACCGAGGUGAUUUCCCCAGGGUGGGACUCAUCCAUUGCACUCAGGAUGUGCUGGCUUCUCUGAUUUCCUCACGUGUGGAGACUUGACUGCUGAAUAUCUAUUAGAGGGAGCCUGAGUUGCCACUUUCCCUU
This is a small nuclear RNA of Talpa occidentalis (Iberian mole), 162 nucleotides long. RefSeq annotates it as U1 spliceosomal RNA. The transcript has a single exon. NCBI's taxonomy places the organism in Eukaryota, Metazoa, Chordata, Mammalia, Eulipotyphla, Talpidae. The record is from RefSeq and is a predicted model, not a curated record.